GUGGGGAAUAUUGCGCAAUGGGCGAAAGCCUGACGCAGCGACGCCGCGUGAGGGAUGACGGCCUUCGGGUUGUAAACCUCUUUCAGCUCCGACGAAGCGAGAGUGACGGUAGGAGCAGAAGAAGCACCGGCCAACUACGUGCCAGCAGCCGCGGUAAUACGUAGGGUGCAAGCGUUGUCCGGAAUUAUUGGGCGUAAAGAGCUCGUAGGCGGUUUGUCGCGUCGACUGUGAAAACUCAGGGGCUCAACUCCGAGCUUGCAGUUGAUACGGGCAGACUAGAGUUCGGCAGGGGAGACUGGAAUUCCUGGUGUAGCGGUGAAAUGCGCAGAUAUCAGGAGGAACACCGGUGGCGAAGGCGGGUCUCUGGGCCGAUACUGACGCUGAGGAGCGAAAGCGUGGGGAGCGAACAGGAUUAGAUACCCUGGUAGUCCACGCCGUAAACGUUGGGCGCUAGGUGUGGGGUCCCUUCCACGGGUUCCGUGCCGCAGCUAACGCAUUAAGCGCCCCGCCUGGGGAGUACGGCCGCAAGGC
RNAcentral lists this ribosomal RNA (531 nucleotides) under uncultured bacterium. RNAcentral describes it as "bacterial SSU rRNA". It matches the Rfam family "Bacterial small subunit ribosomal RNA", at positions 354 to 894 of the family's 1533-position model. The record is from RNAcentral.